Molecule: ribosomal RNA, 460 nt
Filed under: uncultured bacterium
Lineage: Bacteria
Description: partial 16S ribosomal RNA
Rfam family: Bacterial small subunit ribosomal RNA
Source: RNAcentral
CCUACGGGGUGCAGCAGUGAGGAAUAUUGGUCAAUGGACGAGAGUCUGAACCAGCCAAGUAGCGUGAAGGAUGACUGCCCUAUGGGUUGUAAACUUCUUUUAUAUGGGAAUAAAACGUUCCACGUGUGGGAUUUUGUAUGUACCAUAUGAAUAAGGAUCGGCUAACUCCGUGCCAGCAGCCGCGGUAAUACGGAGGAUCCGAGCGUUAUCCGGAUUUAUUGGGUUUAAAGGGAGCGUAGGUGGAUUGUUAAGUCAGUUGUGAAAGUUUGCGGCUCAACCGUAAAAUUGCAGUUGAAAAUGGCAGUCUUGAGUACAGUAGAGGUGGGCGGAAUUCGUGGUGUAGCGGUGAAAUGCUUAGAUAUCACGAAGAACUCCGAUUGCGAAGGCAGUUCACUGGACUGCAACUGACACUGAGGCUCGAAAGUGUGGGUAUCAAACAGGAUUAGAUACCCGGGUAGUC